This 472-nucleotide ribosomal RNA is filed under the name uncultured soil bacterium. RNAcentral describes it as "bacterial SSU rRNA". It matches the Rfam family "Bacterial small subunit ribosomal RNA", at positions 26 to 492 of the family's 1533-position model. The record is from RNAcentral.
AGAUUGAACGCUGGCGGCGUGCUUAACACAUGCAAGUCGAUCGGUAACGCGGGGGCAACCCUGGCGACGAGAGGCGGACGGGUGAGUAACGCUUGGGAAUCUGCCCAUCAGCGGGGGACAACCCGGGGGAAACCCGGGCUAAUACCGCAUACGCUCCACAGAGGAAAGCAGGGGACCGCAAGGCCUUGCACUGAUGGAUGAGCCCAAGUCGGAUUAGCUAGUUGGCGGGUAACGGCCCACCAAGGCGACGAUCCGUAGCUGGUCUGAGAGGACGAUCAGCCACACCGGAACUGAGACACGGUCCGGACUCCUACGGGAGGCAGCAGUGGGAAUAUUGGACAAUGGGGGCAACCCUGAUCAGCGACGCCGCGUGGGUGAAGAAGGCCUGGCGGUUGUAAACGCCCGUUUCGGAACGGGUACGAAAGCUCUCGACCUAACACGUCGGAGGUUCGACUUAACCUAACGAAAAGAA